RNAcentral lists this ribosomal RNA (983 nucleotides) under uncultured Bacteroidota bacterium. RNAcentral describes it as "bacterial SSU rRNA". It matches the Rfam family "Bacterial small subunit ribosomal RNA", at positions 509 to 1504 of the family's 1533-position model. Lineage: Bacteria; Pseudomonadati; Bacteroidota. The record is from RNAcentral.
CAGCCGCCGCGGUAAUACGGAGGGUGCAAGCGUUAUCCGGAUUUAUUGGGUUUAAAGGGUGCGUAGGCGGAUCUUUAAGUCAGUGGUGAAAUCCUGCAGCUUAACUGUAGAACUGCCAUUGAUACUGAAGGUCUUGAGUAUAGUUGAGGUAGGCGGAAUGUGUAAUGUAGCGGUGAAAUGCUUAGAUAUUACACAGAACACCGAUUGCGUAGGCAGCUUACUAAGCUAUAACUGACGCUGAUGCACGAAAGCGUGGGGAGCGAACAGGAUUAGAUACCCUGGUAGUCCACGCCGUAAACGAUGAUCACUCGUUGUUGGCGAUACACAGUCAGCGACUGAGCGAAAGCAUUAAGUGAUCCACCUGGGGAGUACGGUCGCAAGAUUGAAACUCAAAGGAAUUGACGGGGGCCCGCACAAGCGGAGGAACAUGUGGUUUAAUUCGAUGAUACGCGAGGAACCUUACCUGGGCUUAAAUGUAGAGUGCAUAAGUGGGAAACUGCUUUUUCCUUCGGGACUCUUUACAAGGUGCUGCAUGGUUGUCGUCAGCUCGUGCCGUGAGGUGUCGGGUUAAGUCCCAUAACGAGCGCAACCCCUAUCGUUAGUUGCUAGCAGGUCAAGCUGAGGACUCUAACGAGACUGCCGGUGUAAACCGAGAGGAAGGUGGGGAUGACGUCAAAUCAGCACGGCCCUUACGUCCAGGGCUACACACGUGUUACAAUGGCCGAUACAAAGGGCAGCUACAUAGUGAUAUGAUGCUAAUCUCUAAAGUCGGUCUUAGUUCGGAUCGAAGUCUGCAACUCGACUUCGUGAAGCUGGAUUCGCUAGUAAUCGUAUAUCAGCCAUGAUACGGUGAAUACGUUCCCGGGCCUUGUACACACCGCCCGUCAAGCCAUGGAAGCUGGGGGUACCUGAAGUCUGUCACCGUAAGGAGCGGCCUAGGGUAAAACUGGUAACUGGGGCUAAGUCGUAACAAGGUAACCGUA